UACGGAGGAUGCAAGCGUUAUCCGGAUUUAUUGGGUUUAAAGGGUACGCAGGCGGAAAAUUAAGUCAGUGGUGAAAUCCUGCAGCUUAACUGUAGAACUGUCAUUGAUACUGGUUUUCUUGAAUACAGUUGAGGUAGGCGGAAUGUGUAAUGUAGCGGUGAAAUGCUUAGAUAUUACACAGAACACCGAUUGCGAAGGCAGCUUACUAAACUGAUAUUGACGCUGAGGUACGAAAGCGUGGGGAGCGAACAGGAUUAGAUACCCGCGUA
Molecule: ribosomal RNA, 269 nt
Filed under: uncultured prokaryote
Description: partial 16S ribosomal RNA
Rfam family: Bacterial small subunit ribosomal RNA
Source: RNAcentral